Molecule: long non-coding RNA, 3353 nt
Organism: Globicephala melas (long-finned pilot whale)
Lineage: Eukaryota; Metazoa; Chordata; Mammalia; Artiodactyla; Delphinidae
Source: RefSeq, a predicted model, not a curated record
GAUGCGCUCCCGGUCCAGGGCGCUGGCUACUUUGAUGAGGCUCAGGUUCGGCACUUUGCUGCUCUGCACCUCAAAGUGGCGCUGCUCGUUGCCCCCAAGAAUCUGCACAGAGAUGUUCCCGUUGGCCGCGGGGGAGUCUGCGUCCGUCACGGUGAGCAGAGCCACCACAGUGCCCACCUGAGCAUUCUCAUCUACCGAGGCGUAGCGUGAGGUGGCAGGGAAGUAGCGGAAUUUCACCACAGGGUCGUUGUCGUUGACGUCCAGCAGCUGAAUCAGCGCCUCGGCGCGCCCAGUGAGGGAAGGCACGCCUCGGUCCAUAGCCUGCACGGGUCAACCGUAAGUCGUUUCAGCAUUCCACAAUUGACUUCUCCAUUUGUAAAAUGAGAGAAAUCAGCUCACGUGGUAACUCUGGGACAGCAAGUCCUGCCCUUGGACUCAGACUUACACCACAACACUCCUGGCUCUCAGGUCUUCAGGCUCAGGCUGGAAAUCAUGGCUUUAAGUUUCUUCAGCAACUGCUUCUGAGUUAUCCCAAGAUGGUGUGAUGAGAACAUUGGCAUCAGAAGAAGAACUUUGCCAUUGAGAAACAAGCAGAAAAUAGUUUCCUUUCCUGCAGCGCUGCACCUGCUGUGCACCUAGCACAGCCACCCUUCCAAUACCUGCUUCCACUGGUGAACAAUGGAGAUAACGUACCCCCAUUUCUUCAGAAUUGUGAUUUCAGUUUUCACACUAAGUAUUUCUGGAACACAUUUGUUUCAUCAAUAGACACGUUAUUUUUAAGAUUCUAAAAUCAACAUAUUUCAGAUCUCCCAGGAGACAAUUUCCAGAAGUUGGUACAUACAUGUCCUACCCUUUCCUGCCUUCAAUUCCAAGGAGAACUAGAAGGAUUUCUUCUUGCUGUUUUGAGAAGUUGCUUUGAUUGAGGAGAACAGGGACUUUGCUUCUUAAAAAAAUACAAUGAAUCUUAUAUGUUGGACAAUAUUAUAUAUGCCUUGGCAUCAUUCGUUUUUUGGAGUUGUAACUACAGAAUUAUCUAGAUAUCAUUCACCUGAUACAUGAGGCAAUUUCCAUGAGAUAACUGGUUCAUAUGGACUUCCAUUUGAAUAAAUCAUUUCUCAAUCCAGAGAUGUUUUUGAAAUAGUUUAGCCUGUGGCUUCCUAUAUAACACGAUUGCUGAGAGCAUGGAAUAUUCAGCAAGGUUGGAAAUCGUGUUGUUUUCUGGUAAGGCUCCAGGAGCCACGUGGAUUCAGACUAUAGUCCUUGGAACCAAAACACUCAAUGUAAUAUAUUUAUGAGAAUAAAAUUUCUGUCACAGAAUUUUCCCAUAAAAGUUAAUUGGAAAACAUUGCAUUACAUUAGCUAUAUAAAUGAUUGGGUGUCAGUGCAUACACAUGUACAGUAUAUGAUAUAUGUGUGGUAAUAUAUAAAGCGACUCAUCAGAAAUCAUUCUCACUGGCCCGUAAACAAUUACAGAUAAAAUUCUGUCAAGAUUAGCACCAAGAUGAUAGAUUUUCUUCAUAAGUUUUUAUCUUCUUUUAGGUAAUUCUAUAAUUUCAAGACUUAACACUUACUUUGAAAUGACUUUUCUCUGUACAGACAAUACUUCUCUAUGCGUUUAAAUAUUCUAGAAUGAUGACGUCUCAGUCCAACUUAACACAUUCUCAGGUGUCUUUGUUAACCAGAAAAACUGACAAUCAUUCUCUUUUCCACAUUGAUCAAAAAUAAAGAAGCUUUACAUAUUGUUUGACAGCAAUUUUCUCCUUAUACUGUACAAAACUGAGGUGAAAAGUAUUUGCUUUCAAAGGUGACGAACGCAGUAGGAGCCCUAACAAUGGUGUCUGCACGAUACACUGCAACUUUCUUCUGAGGCAGCAUGCAUGCUGGUUCAAAGUGUAGACUGUGGGCCUGAUCUGCCCAAUUCAAAUAUUACCUGGCUGGUUCCUGACCUUAGGACCUAAGCAUGUCACUUAACUGCUAUGAGAAGCAGCUUCCUUCUCUCUAAAACAGGGGUAAGAGUAACUAUUUCAUAGGGUUGUUAUGAUUUAAUAUUUUAAACUACUUAAAACAGUGCUAUGUAAUCAGUAAAUUCUGAUUUAGAAGUAUUCAUCUCUCUUCUGCAUUUAUAAGAUUUGAUUCCUGGCAGUUUCUACCCAAUCAUCGUGACAUCCAGCUGGAGCCAGAGUGCUUCUGAGACUAAAUAUCCAGGCAUUUAGGUUAGCAACAGAAAACAUGAUUGGUAUUUCCAUCCUGUUUUGACAAAGUUCCAUAUUUCUUUUAUGAUGCAAAAUGGAGAACCUCAUUAAGCAAUCAGAAAGAUUCUUGACUUUCACAGUAAUCCUUGUUGGCAUAACAUUUUUCAAGUUCCUCCCUCAGCCAAAGUGAAGCCUAAAUCAUAAACAUACCUGAAAUAUAAAAUCAAUAAUAUUAUUUCUGUAGUGCUGUAGCGUAAGACUUAAGAAUGUCUCAGCUACCAGAAAAAUGAUACUACUAGAAAAACACGCAUGGCUUCUUUUUAGUUGUUUUUUAAAACAUUAAAGGGAAAAAAAAUGAAGGAAAAGGAAAAUGUUUUCUUUGCCCCACAAAGGAGGAAAACCAGAUUCCAGUGUUCAGAAUCUCCCUUUGGAAGUAAGUGUUUCAUGGAGUUAAAAUGUUCCAGUGAUGUUGUUUUGAGAUCAUUUGGCUUGUUCCUCAUCCUAUGUCACACACAGAGAAUUCUCCCACAUAGGACGAGAAAUUAGCCAUCAGUUUUCCAAGCACUUGCUUUCAGACGUGGUUUAAGCACUUGUUUCUUAAUAGUUUAAAACUCCUCAAACAGAUUCCCAGACUGUGUGAAAAUAGGAUAAUUUUUAGAGGAUUAUGGAGGAGAAUCUGGUCUAUCUGGGUCUAGCAGCGUUUCAAUUGCCCUGAUGGCUAAGUAUAAAUUUGUUAGGAAAUUUGGAGGAAAAAAUACAUGCAAUCCUCAAGAAGUUUUCACUGUUUGGAAACUGUGUUAAUAGGUGGAAACCUAUAUGGAAAUUGUUGUAUAAUUUAAUAUGUGUAAAAACUCAGCAAAAUGUUUAAAUUAGGAAUCCUAAAUUAGGAUCCUGCACGAUUUGCUUAUUUUUUAGAUUUUAUAGUUUAGAAUUUUUUCUUUGCUAAUUAUAAUAAUUCUGUCAGAAAUACAUUUUUUUCCCAAAAGCAAAAUUAAUAUACAUUCAAUUAUGGGCACAUUAUUAAACUUUAAAUAAUUUAAGUUAUAUGAUACUGUCAGCAACAUUUAUUUUAGUUUCUAUAUGAUAAUGCAGGUUUGUCGAGAUUCCUGAAAUCUUAAUGUGGAAAUUGGUCUAUGUUUUGAUCCAAUAAAAAUAUUAUGA